Daktulosphaira vitifoliae (grape phylloxera) is the source of this 4346-nucleotide long non-coding RNA. RefSeq lists it as uncharacterized. The record is from RefSeq and is a predicted model, not a curated record. The transcript has 3 exons. NCBI's taxonomy places the organism in Eukaryota, Metazoa, Arthropoda, Insecta, Hemiptera, Phylloxeridae.
UGGCGGCACUCGCGCCUAAAAUCCCACGACCGUAACCGGAAUCGCAUCAGGACCCCAACGGACCGGUAUAUCAUGUAUGUGUAUGUUUGUUAGAUCAAACUAGGAUCGACCGAGUUAUCGAAAAAACAGUUUAUAGGUCGGCGGGUAUUCAUCAGUUGAUACACUCGACUACUGUUGUGAUUAUAUUGAAUAAAAUAUGUUCAGAUACACUGCGGAAGAUCGCCCAGAAGUAUUUGUCGACAGUGGGCUGAACUAUUGUACUCGCAAUGUAAAAUUUGGAUCUAAUAAUCACAUAAGCGAAGAUUUACACAACGUCAAUAAAAGUGUGUUGUAGUGGCGUUGCUUUAAAGGUGUUACAAUCAUUUAGAAACUACAUGCGUAGUAAUUACUAUUGACACACAAAAUUAUUGUGUACGUUUUAAAACAACUCACUAAAUAACUAUUUUAACACGAGUAAAGUUGUUGUGGUGGGAACAAUUAUUGCGUUUCAAAAAGUUAGUAUUAAAAACCAAAUUAAAAAUGUGUCCACUCUGUUUAUGUUUAAAUGUGUCUAUGUCGCUCAUUCAGGUGUUUAUUUUGCUGACUCAAAGUUAUUCAAAAUUCGUGUAAGCUUUAUUUUUCAUAUUAUAUAAGCAUAUGGUGUACUGGCAUCAGUUUAGGUAGCAUAUACUUACUGAAGAUGCACAUUUACAGUGUGAUGAGCCAAAGAUAAGACUUAAGUUUUACAAUUAGUAAUACAACACGUUGUAGACUACUCAUAGUACAAUGAAUGAAACCUGCAUAAAUAACUAUGGUAGACACGAAUGGAACCAUAUUCAAGGUAACAAGCGAAAAAUAAGCAAGUAAUUACGAAAAAAUAUAAAAAAAACAUAAUAUGUUAAUACGCUAAACUAUUAAGGAUGAAUAUUAUAAUAAAAUAAUCUUCUUUAAUUUUAUCAUUCAAGAGUAUUUUAAUAACAAAAAUAAAACAUUUAUUGAUAUUGCUUCAAGGACAACCAUUUUCUUUCAUAAUAUGUUUAUUAUUAGCGUGAUCAUGUUUUAUUAAUUUAUUGUUGUUUUAAAAAUAUAAUCUAUUAAGAUUAGGAAACAUUGUCUGAAACUUAAAUUAAAAAUAAAUAAUUUAUUUUUUUAAUUUAAGCAAGCAAUUGAUCACUAUUUUUACAAAGGUUGAUAAGCACAAGGUAGUUUUUAAAUUUAUUUCUCUAAUUUGAUUGUGUCAUGCAUUAAUAAAAAAAUUAUUCACAAUUUUUUUACCAAUUAAAAUAAAAUUUAAUAAAUGAAUAAUACAUUUUUAAAUAAAUUAAACGUGUUAAUUUAUUAUUGUUGCUAUACUGAUUAGAUAAAUUUAAACAGAUUCAGAAUUAACCAUGUUAAGAAUAAUUAUACAUCAAUUACGUUGUCUAAGCAUAAGACUUUUUUUAUGUUUAGAAAAAUUGUUCAACAAAAAUUAAAUAACGAUUAUUUUGUAGUCCAAAGUCGGGUUCAAAGACUAGUGUUUUCUCACUCAAGUAAUCUAUCUGAUUUAAAUACUGUUUUUGAAAAGCCAUAACGAGUAACGGUGAUGGGGAAAAAUGACAAAGUGACGAAUUUCAAUGACAAAUACCUGUUGGCAAGCCAAAUAGAAAAUCCGUUCAAUGAAAAAUCCGCGAACCGUGUAAAUUUAAUUAUAUCGUCAGAGCAACGUAUAUUAAUAUUUUCGGUAUUAUGUUCACUAUGAAAUAUUUAAUAAUGUACAAUACCAUCGUGUACUGGUACAAGAUUCGUUUGCUAUUAACUUCGCUUUCAGCCUUUGUAUAAAACCAAAUGGUCUAAACGCUCGUUUCAGACUUCGAUUCACACCAAAAGUUGCAUCUAAUCUCAUUAUCCUUUUGAACUUGACUACCGUGCCGGAUACUGAAAAAUUGAUUUUUAUUGGCACGUGCUCACGUUAUAAGUGCGUUUACUAGUAACUAAUUACGUUAUGUUUCUUAAAGUCGCCAGUAAUUAAAGUUUAAUAAUAAUCAUUGUACACUUUUAGGUUUUAAACGCGUUAGUGAUUCGUUUGUAUUCAUAAUAAUUAUUAUUUAUACAAUGUGCUAAUAAGAUAAAUAGUAAAGAUGAUGUUCACUUCAAUUCAAAGGAUUCACGUUAACCAAAUCAAAGUUUGAUGUUUCAACUAUAUUUUUAUUACGAUCUGAAAUAGUAUUGUAAUCAUAGUAAUGCAGUAUUUCUCAAAGUUAUUUCAAAUGAAUGACAACGAGCUUCAUCUAUAGCCUUUGAUAACCUCUCGAAAGGAGAAAACAGAAAUAAGUCUAUUGUGAAACGUCUGAAGAUUUACAUAAAAUUUGACUCGACAUAAUAAUAGCUUUUGAAUUAUUCUUCGUCAUCGUUGUCUAUAUUAAAAAAUAUUUCAUUUCAAAAGAAAACUGACAUUUACUUAUUAUUUUUUUUACUUAUCCAUAAAAUACAUCUAGUACGUAUUACUUUCUUUAAUAUACAACAAUAAUUUUCAUUGUCGAUCAAGAAAAGAGAUACGCCAUGGAAACACAAGACUUUUCGUUCCCCCAACGAACCCGAAGCAUUAUUAUUUUUUCAAUCCACUCGUGAUUUCUAAUUGUUUUCCGGUAGGAAAAUAUAAAAAACAACCUAAAUGACCACUUUACUUAUUGAUAAUAAUAAUAAUGACUUCAUCGCUUUAUAAUCGAUGACCGCAAACUUUCCCCAUAAAAAAACGGAAGGCGACCCCAUUACAAGAUACCAUUUUUUGCGCUUCAGCACCCUCCACAAAGUGGACUCUGGCGAUCUAAAAGUCACCCCCGUCAUACGCCCGGACAAUUCGAUAUUUAUGACCUGGAAGACCACAAAACGCCGUAAACGUGCCCUGCAAAAUUCGAUUCACAAUGUUAACACAUAAAUUUCAUGACGUGCAAUAAUUAUUGUCACUUGAAUUAUGACCACAUACGCCGUAACUGCUCUCUGGACGGACAUUUAUCUCCGGAAUUGUACACUCGGCCAGUAGCUAUUCAACUGGGUCGUUUACUAAUGCAUCGUCUAAUUUAAUCUAUUGGAAUUACCGCGUGGGGCGUAGAAAAAUAGGAAGGGUUCUUUAUUUGUAUGAGUGGUAUAUUAUAUUGCAAUAGUUGUCGACUGAUCAUAUAAAUUAUCAUGUACUCUGGCGUAAGUUAAUUUUUGAAUCAUUGGCAUAAAUAUAACAGUGAGUCAAGAUAAUUAAAUUGUAUUGAAGUAAUAAUUUUUCUAUAUAUGGUGGACAAAAGUCAUCGCAUUUGAUUUAUUAGGCACAUUAACAUUUAAUUUAAUAGAAAAAGUGGCUAAAGUAAUUAAUAUGGUAACUACCACAAUAUCUAUUUGUUUAAUAAGAUAUUUAUGUAAUCUAGACAACAACAUCCAACUAUUUCAACUUCGCAAAGGAAACUUUUGAUGUAAAUAAUGAAAUUUUAUCGAAAUUUCUUUUAACCAGACAAUUCAAAUUUAUAUUGAAGGUCUCAUGGGUACGAUGCCAAUAUAAAAUAAAUUAUGCUGUUAGCAGUUCAAAGGGAAACUACUGAAUACUCUGUGCUAAUUAGCCCUUUGGGCAUUAAUUGGAGGAAAUACUAUUACAAGAAAACAAUAAAUAGAAACAAUGGGGAAAAAAUGUACCAGACACUAAGUACUCCAUUAAUUUUUGUUAUAUUUAGUGUUUUCCUUUUCCGUUGAAUAAAUUUGGUGGUAUAAAAAAAAGUCAUUUUUAUAAAGAACUCAUCAAAAUUAGAGGUUAAUGAGAGGGAUGAGCUUUUAUUUAAUACGCGUAAUAAAAUGUUUGAUAAUAUGAAAUACUUAAUUUUUUUUCUUAAAAUUAAAAAAGGGGCUUAUAAGCUCUUGGUUGUUAGCCUUAAUUUGAAUUUCUUAAUUCUUUCUACCAGUCCCUAAAUUAAUUCAAAAGUAUUAAAAAAAGUACUUUAAAAAUAUUAAUGUCCUGUGUACAGUUCAAAGUUAAAAUUACUUUAAAAACAAGAAUUAAAAAAAAAAAAUAGUUUUUUUUACAAUCACGUCGAGAAAAAAUUCUUAGACCAUGUAACGUAUUAAAAUUGUGAUGUGUAUGUUACAAGUUACUAUAUUCAAAUAGUGCACGUGGUACAUCUUUAGAUUCAAUGUUACACUCAUAUAUUUAUUUAUUAGAUUAAUAAAUUGUACCUACUACCUGUUAUCUUUAUUCUAAAUAAUAAAUUAUUAUAAUUCUCAAUGAUUAAACACCUCUUUAAUCACCCUGUCCUCCACCCUCUCCUAUGUGAUAUCAAUCCGUCUUAGAAAACAUCACGAAUAUGUUCAAAAAAGAAUUAUUUUGAUUACAUCAUCAUUUGAAAAAAAUU